Molecule: ribosomal RNA, 406 nt
Filed under: uncultured bacterium
Lineage: Bacteria
Description: partial 16S ribosomal RNA
Rfam family: Bacterial small subunit ribosomal RNA
Source: RNAcentral
AUUGAACGCUGGCGGCAGGCCUAACACAUGCAAGUCGAGCGAGCGGCGGACGGGUGAGUAAUGUCUGGGAAACUGCCCGAUGGAGGGGGAUCACUACUGGAAACGGUAGCUAAUACCGCAUACCCUCGGAUGUGCCCAGCUGGGAUUAGCUAGUAGGUGGGGUAACGGCUCACCUAGGCGACGAUCCCUAGCUGGUCUGAGAGGAUGACCAGCAACACGGGAACGGAGACACGGUCCAGACUCCUACGGGAGGCAGCAGUGGGGAAUAUUGCAAAAUGGGCGAAAGCCUGAUACAGCCAUGCCGCGUGUAUGAAGAAGGCCUUCGGGUUGUAAAGUACUUUAAGCGAGGAGGCGUUACUCGCAGAAGAAGCACCGGCUAACUCCGUGCCAGCAGCCGCGGUAAUAC